Molecule: ribosomal RNA, 468 nt
Filed under: uncultured bacterium
Lineage: Bacteria
Description: bacterial SSU rRNA
Rfam family: Bacterial small subunit ribosomal RNA
Source: RNAcentral
CAAGUCGAACGGCAGCACGGAGCUUGCUCUGGUGGCGAGUGGCGAACGGGUGAGUAAUAUAUCGGAACGUACCCAGGAGUGGGGGAUAACGUAGCGAAAGUUACGCUAAUACCGCAUACGUCCUAAGGGAGAAAGUGGGGGAUCGCAAGACCUCAUGCUCAUGGAGCGGCCGAUAUCUGAUUAGCUAGUUGGUGAGGUAAAGGCUCACCAAGGCAACGAUCAGUAGCUGGUCUGAGAGGACGACCAGCCACACUGGAACUGAGACACGGUCCAGACUCCUACGGGAGGCAGCAGUGGGGAAUUUUGGACAAUGGGGGCAACCCUGAUCCAGCAAUGCCGCGUGAGUGAAGAAGGCCUUCGGGUUGUAAAGCUCUUUUGUCAGGGAAGAAAAGGGACUGGCUAAUAUCUAGUCCUCAUGACGGUACCUGAAGAAUAAGCACCGGCUAACUACGUGCCAGCAGCCGCGGU